GUGGGCGGCGUUCAUAAAGAUUUACGUUUAUUUCACGUUCCUGACCUCGCCCGCCUAUAAAAGUCCUCGUUGCUCCAGGGCGUAGCUCCGUUACCCUGGGGGGCCUAUGGGGGUGCGGGGUACAGGCACCCAUCGCUCCGGGACACCUUGCCUCAGUGCUCAUCUCUGUCAAAUUAAAGACUCAAGAGCUGUGUGAAGAAGCUGAGCAGCGUCUCCCUGGCCUGGGCGUGGAGUGAGCUGGUCCCCUCAUCACCAGCACCAUAGACCAGGGGAUGAGGUGCUCCUGGCCCUCCGGCACACCCUCCUGGGCGGACCAGAGGAUGUCCACUGUGCUGGUGAGUGGCCUGACCCUUGCAUCUCUCUGGGUCAUUGUAGUGCUCCAAACUUGCUCUUUUUCUGUGGCCUGACCCUUGCAUCUCUCUGGGUCAUUGUAGUGCU
Eriocheir sinensis (Chinese mitten crab) is the source of this 438-nucleotide long non-coding RNA. RefSeq lists it as uncharacterized. The transcript is spliced from 3 exons. NCBI's taxonomy places the organism in Eukaryota, Metazoa, Arthropoda, Malacostraca, Decapoda, Varunidae. The record is from RefSeq and is a predicted model, not a curated record.